UGUGAAGUUAAGCACUCACAGGCUCAGUUAGUACUGAGGUCAGUGAUGACUCGGGAACCCUGAGUGCCGUACUCUUUUUUUGGCGGGCCCCAUCGCCCGCUUUCGCCAAUCCAGCG
RNAcentral lists this ribosomal RNA (116 nucleotides) under Leishmania donovani. RNAcentral also lists the same sequence under 1 other name. Lineage: Eukaryota; Euglenozoa; Kinetoplastea; Trypanosomatida; Trypanosomatidae. The record is from RNAcentral.